GCCUGAGUGGUGUAGUGGUUUGAGUGUUGGACUAGGACUCUGGAGAACAGGGUUCAAAUCCUGGCUUAGCCG
Molecule: transfer RNA, 72 nt
Filed under: Phrynosoma platyrhinos (Desert horned lizard)
Lineage: Eukaryota; Metazoa; Chordata; Lepidosauria; Squamata; Phrynosomatidae
Description: tRNA-OTHER
Source: RNAcentral